GGGUGAGUAACACGUAUCCAACCUGCCGUCUACUCUUGGACAGCCUUCUGAAAGGAAGAUUAAUACAAGAUGGCAUCAUGAGUCCGCAUGUUCACAUGAUUGAAGGUAUUCCGGUAGACGAUGGGGAUGCGUUCCAUUAGAUAGUAGGCGGAGUAACGGCCCACCUAGUCUUCGAUGGAUAGGGGUUCUGAGAGGAAGGUCCCCCACAUUGGAACUGAGACACGGUCCAAACUCCUACGGGAGGCAGCAGUGAGGAAUAUUGGUCAAUGGGCGAGAGCCUGAACCAGCCAAGUAGCGUGAAGGAUGACUGCCCUAUGGGUUGUAAACUUCUUUUAUAAAGGAAUAAAGUCGGGUAUGCAUACCCGUUUGCAUGUACUUUAUGAAUAAGGAUCGGCUAACUCCGUGCCAGCAGCCGCGGUAAUACGGAGGAUCCGAGCGUUAUCCGGAUUUAUUGGGUUUAAAGGGAGCGUAGAUGGAUGUUUAAGUCAGUUGUGAAAGUUUGCGGCUCAACCGUAAAAUUGCAGUUGAUACUGGAUAUCUUGAGUGCAGUUGAGGCAGGCGGAAUUCGUGGUGUAGCGGUGAAAUGCUUAGAUAUCACGAAGAACUCCGAUUGCGAAGGCAGCCUGCUAAGCUGCAACUGACAUUGAGGCUCGAAAGUGUGGGUAUCAAACAGGAUUAGAUACCCUGGUAGUCCACACGGUAAACGAUGAAUACUCGCUGUUUGCGAUAUACAGCAAGCGGCCAAG
RNAcentral lists this ribosomal RNA (746 nucleotides) under uncultured bacterium. RNAcentral describes it as "bacterial SSU rRNA". It matches the Rfam family "Bacterial small subunit ribosomal RNA", at positions 104 to 851 of the family's 1533-position model. The record is from RNAcentral.